This 1354-nucleotide ribosomal RNA is filed under the name uncultured bacterium. Its description in RNAcentral is "bacterial SSU rRNA". It matches the Rfam family "Bacterial small subunit ribosomal RNA", at positions 28 to 1381 of the family's 1533-position model. The record is from RNAcentral.
GACGAACGCUGGCUGCGUGCUUAACACAUGCAAGUCGAACGCUGAAGCUCUGGUGCUUGCACCGGGGUGGAUGAGUGGCGAACGGGUGAGUAACACGUGAGUAACCUGCCCCUGACUUCGGGAUAAGCCCGGGAAACUGGGUCUAAUACCGAAUAUGACCGUUCCUCGCAUGAGGGAUGGUGGAAAGUUUUUUCGGUUGGGGAUGGGCUCGCGGCCUAUCAGCUAGAUGGUGGGGUAAUGGCCCACCAUGGCGACGACGGGUAGCCGGCCUGAGAGGGCGACCGGCCACACUGGGACUGAGACACGGCCCAGACUCCUACGGGAGGCAGCAGUGGGGAAUACUGCACAAUGGGGGAAACCCUGAUGCAGCGACGCAGCGUGCGGGAUGACGGCCUUCGGGUUGUAAACCGCUUUCAGCAGGGAAGAAGCCCCUUGGGGUGACGGUACCUGCAGAAGAAGUACCGGCUAACUACGUGCCAGCAGCCGCGGUAAUACGUAGGGUACGAGCGUUGUCCGGAAUUAUUGGGCGUAAAGAGCUCGUAGGUGGUUGGUCACGUCUGCUGUGGAAACGCAACGCUUAACGUUGCGCGUGCAGUGGGUACGGGCUGACUAGAGUGCAGUAGGGGAGUCUGGAAUUCCUGGUGUAGCGGUGAAAUGCGCAGAUAUCAGGAGGAACACCGGUGGCGAAGGCGGGACUCUGGGCUGUAACUGACACUGAGGAGCGAAAGCAUGGGGAGCGAACAGGAUUAGAUACCCUGGUAGUCCAUGCCGUAAACGUUGGGCACUAGGUGUGGGGGACAUUCCACGUUCUCCGCGCCGUAGCUAACGCAUUAAGUGCCCCGCCUGGGGAGUACGGUCGCAAGGCUAAAACUCAAAGGAAUUGACGGGGGCCCGCACAAGCGGCGGAGCAUGCGGAUUAAUUCGAUGCAACGCGAAGAACCUUACCAAGGCUUGACAUACACCAGACCGGGCUGGAAACAGUCCUUCCCCUUUGGGGUUGGUGUACAGGUGGUGCAUGGUUGUCGUCAGCUCGUGUCGUGAGAUGUUGGGUUAAGUCCCGCAACGAGCGCAACCCUCGUUCUAUGUUGCCAGCACGUGAUGGUGGGAACUCAUAGGAGACUGCCGGGGUCAACUCGGAGGAAGGUGGGGAUGACGUCAAAUCAUCAUGCCCUUUAUGUCUUGGGCUUCACGCAUGCUACAAUGGCUGGUACAGAGAGAUGCGAGACCGUGAGGUUUUAGCGAAUCCCUUAAAGCCAGUCUCAGUUCGGAUCGUAGUCUGCAAUUCGACUACGUGAAGUCGGAGUCGCUAGUAAUCGCAGAUCAGCAACGCUGCGGUGAAUACGUUCCCGGGCCU